Molecule: ribosomal RNA, 124 nt
Organism: Ochotona princeps (American pika)
Lineage: Eukaryota; Metazoa; Chordata; Mammalia; Lagomorpha; Ochotonidae
Source: Ensembl
GUCUACAGCCAUACCACCUUGAACACGCCUGAGCUUGUCUGAUCUCGGAAGCUAAGCAGGGUCGGGCCUGGUUAGUACUUGGAUGGGAAACAGCCAAGCAGAGGUCUUUGAAUUGCUGCAGCUG